AGAAAGCANACGCAAGAACUGCUAACUCAU
This 30-nucleotide transfer RNA is filed under the name Dremomys rufigenis laomache. Its description in RNAcentral is "partial tRNA-Ser". The record is from RNAcentral. Lineage: Eukaryota; Metazoa; Chordata; Mammalia; Rodentia; Sciuridae.